AACGAACGCUGGCGGCAUGCCUAACACAUGCAAGUCGAACGAAGCCUUCGGGCUUAGUGGCGCACGGGUGCGUAACACGUGGGAAUCUGCCCUUCGGUUCGGAAUAACAGUUAGAAAUGACUGCUAAUACCGGAUGAUGACGAAAGUCCAAAGAUUUAUCGCCGAAGGAUGAGCCCGCGUAGGAUUAGGUAGUUGGUGGGGUAAUGGCCCACCAAGCCGACGAUCCUUAGCUGGUCUGAGAGGAUGAUCAGCCACACUGGGACUGAGACACGGCCCAGACUCCUACGAGAGGCAGCAGUGGGGAAUAUUGGACAAUGGGCGAAAGCCUGAUCCAGCAAUGCCGCGUGAGUGAUGAAGGCCUUAGGGUUGUAAAGCUCUUUUACCAGGGAUGAUAAUGACAGUACCUGGAGAAUAAGCUCCGGCUAACUCCGUG
RNAcentral lists this ribosomal RNA (433 nucleotides) under uncultured bacterium. Its description in RNAcentral is "bacterial SSU rRNA". It matches the Rfam family "Bacterial small subunit ribosomal RNA", at positions 29 to 507 of the family's 1533-position model. The record is from RNAcentral.